Molecule: unclassified non-coding RNA, 198 nt
Filed under: uncultured fungus
Lineage: Eukaryota; Fungi
Description: sequence contains ITS1
Source: RNAcentral
CAGAGUUGAAAGACUCCCCAUACCAUCGCGAACGUUACCCUUAACCGUUGCUUCGGCGGGCGGUCUCCUCCUUCCCCCUUCGCCUUGGGGGUUGGGAAACCCCUCGGGCCCCCCUUCGCGGGGGGGCGCCCGCCGGAGGUCACACAAACUCUUGAUACCUGAACGGCCUCUCUGAGUAUUCUGUACUGAAUUAAGUCA